This 378-nucleotide ribosomal RNA is filed under the name Triticum aestivum (bread wheat). Its description in RNAcentral is "partial small subunit ribosomal RNA". The record is from RNAcentral. Lineage: Eukaryota; Viridiplantae; Streptophyta; Magnoliopsida; Poales; Poaceae.
AUGUCACCUAUCUCAAGGCCACAGAACACUGCUAUCCAAAGGGUGGGAGACCUCAUUGACACAUCAAACUGGUCUUGGAAGCAUGAGGUGGUCAGGGAGACUUUCAUUGCCCCGGACGCUGAGGCCAUUCUUAAUAUUCCCAUCCGGCAAGGGGGAGGUGAUGAUUAUCUUGCAUGGGCAUUCGAAAGAUCAGGCAACUACAUUGUGAAGUCGGCGUACCGUGCUCUUGUGACUCAGAACGAGCGUUUGGCUCCAGACGAAGGGACGGGUACCUCAAAUGAUGAUCAACAUAUGUGGAAAGCCUUGUGGAAAUUGAAUGUCAUCCCAAAAGUGAGAGUUUUUUUGGUGGAGAGUUCUUCGUGGGAUUCUUCCAGAUGA